RNAcentral lists this ribosomal RNA (253 nucleotides) under uncultured bacterium. RNAcentral describes it as "partial 16S ribosomal RNA". It matches the Rfam family "Bacterial small subunit ribosomal RNA", at positions 524 to 776 of the family's 1533-position model. The record is from RNAcentral.
UACAGAGGUCUCAAGCGUUGUUCGGAUUCAUUGGGCGUAAAGGGCUCGUAGGCGGUCUGUUGCGUCGGGAGUGAAAACUUACAGCUUAACUGUGAGCGUGCUUUCGAUACGGGCAGACUUGAGGCAUUCAGGGGAGAACGGAAUUCCUGGUGUAGCGGUGAAAUGCGCAGAUAUCAGGAGGAACACCGGUGGCGAAGGCGGUUCUCUGGGAAUGUCCUGACGCUGAGGAGCGAAAGUGUGGGGAGCGAACAGG